UACGGGGGGGGCAAGCGUUGUUCGGAAUUACUGGGCGUAAAGGGCUCGUAGGCGGCCAACUAAGUCAGACGUGAAAUCCCUCGGCUUAACCGGGGAACUGCGUCUGAUACUGGAUGGCUUGAGUUCGGGAGAGGGAUGUGGAAUUCCAGGUGUAGCGGUGAAAUGCGUAGAUAUCUGGAGGAACACCGGUGGCGAAGGCGGCAUCCUGGACCAAUAUUGACGCUGAGGAGCGAAAGCCAGGGGAGCAAACGGG
Molecule: ribosomal RNA, 253 nt
Filed under: uncultured bacterium
Lineage: Bacteria
Description: partial 16S ribosomal RNA
Rfam family: Bacterial small subunit ribosomal RNA
Source: RNAcentral